CCGCCGCUGCAGCACAUGGGAAGUUGCCUGGGUCUGGCUGUGUUAAGGGUCUCUGCGCAAGGUCCCAGCGUUGCGCCUGGGUAGAGAGGCCCUCCCAGGUUGCCAGGGGCAGCAGAGCGGUGUCUGAGCCACAUUUCCAAGCAAAAACCCAAGAACCGAGUCUGUAUUGAACUGGAGCCUCCGAUAAAUUCGGACGUGAUUGCCAUAAUGGACCACCACAGGCUCAAAGCAGCUGGGUCAACCGACCGUGGACAGAAACCUCUGACGCUGUGAGCCAAAGGGAACCUUUUCUCUUCCGGGGUGACCGGCUCAGGAAGCUAGACACCACACUGCGCCGACUAACUCAUCUACCAGGGUGAGCACCAAAGCAUUGUGGGCUCCUCAGCAACGAGACAGACAAGAAAAGUGAGACCGCCAUGUUUCAGCAGGUGUGGAACCCUCAAGUGCCCCCAGCAAGCCAGCGGGGAGAGAAGUCCUGACUCCUGGCCAGGUCCGAGGUCCCUGACACAAAGCAUCCUUCCGAUCAGACCAGGGGACCUGGAAUGGGGCCACCACCACACUCAGGAUGGGCCCUGGGAGAAAAAGCAGCCACUGAGUAUCAAGAGGAAGACAAAAGAGCCCCGAGCAAGAAAAAAAAUAAAAAAUAAAAGGU
Long non-coding RNA from Peromyscus maniculatus bairdii (prairie deer mouse), 652 nucleotides. RefSeq lists it as uncharacterized. NCBI's taxonomy places the organism in Eukaryota, Metazoa, Chordata, Mammalia, Rodentia, Cricetidae. The record is from RefSeq and is a predicted model, not a curated record.